This 299-nucleotide signal recognition particle RNA is filed under the name Cebus imitator (Panamanian white-faced capuchin). Its description in RNAcentral is "Metazoan signal recognition particle RNA (ENSCCAG00000000529.1)". It matches the Rfam family "Metazoan signal recognition particle RNA". Rfam says of the family: The signal recognition particle (SRP) is a universally conserved ribonucleoprotein. It is involved in the co-translational targeting of proteins to membranes. The eukaryotic SRP consists of a 300-nucleotide 7S RNA and six proteins: SRPs 72, 68, 54, 19, 14, and 9. The record is from RNAcentral. Lineage: Eukaryota; Metazoa; Chordata; Mammalia; Primates; Cebidae.
GCUGGGCGCGGUGGUGAUUGCCUGUAGUCCCAGCUACUCAGGAGGCUGAGGUGGGAGGAUCGCUUGAGCCCAGGAACUCUGGACUGUAGUGCACUAUGCCCAUCGCGUGUCCGCACUAAGUUCGGCAUCAAUAUGGUGACCUCCCGGGAGCAGGGGACCAUCAGGUUGCCUAAGGAGGGGUGAACCAGCCCAGGUCGGAAAUGGAGCAAGUCAAAACUCCCAUGCUGAUCAAUGGUGGGAUCGUGCCUGUGAAUAGCCACUGCACUCCAGCCUGGGCAACAUAGUGAGACCUCAUCUCU